UUUGUUCCUGUUUUAGAUCAACUUUGACAUGCCUUUUUGGAUGUUUAUGUUAAUUUGCUGGGUAAAGCUUUAAUCUGAGUGAUUUAUUUUGUUGUUUUGCAGUUCCUUAAGAGCUUUUGGAAAGUGCUUUUAAAAUAAGCUGCUUUUGUUCUCUGCAUAUUACAACUUUGGAAGUGACUUGAUGAAGGUGGCUUGUAAGAAAUGCCAAACUUGGAGGCGCCAACUUUUGGUCACCAACAACACUCUUUUUUAUUUAAUUAGAAAAUGUAAUUAUUUAAGGUUUUCUUUUAAGACAAAUGUGUAUAUUUGGAUUUAUCUGUAACUUAUUGAAUUACAAGUCUAAUAGCAAUUGUAACUUGUUGGAUUUGGGAAAGAAUUGAAUUAUUAAAGUGUAUUUUCUAUUAUUUGGAAUUUUGUUUGGAUUAUUAUUUAUUUGUGCAAUUGGUCUCUUUUUUUUU
Molecule: long non-coding RNA, 458 nt
Filed under: Lathyrus oleraceus (garden pea)
Lineage: Eukaryota; Viridiplantae; Streptophyta; Magnoliopsida; Fabales; Fabaceae
Description: Pisum sativum (pea) long non-coding RNA (PSAT_LNC027510)
Source: RNAcentral